GGUUUCUGUUCAUUAUGGCAGCCCCUAGGGGGCUUCUGCAGGUUGCUGUGGUCUUGCUGCUCCGUAAGGUCUGGGCAAUGGGGCUUGCUUGGGAGCUCGAGAGGUGCGUGGGGGUCCUCCUUCUGCCCUCCCUGCCCCUGAGCUCAGCCUCCCCCUGCCAGCCGUGUACCUGGUGAGCCCCCUCAAGGAUAACUCGUCCCACCUCGCCCAGCCUGGGCUGCUGCAGGAGCUGGACUUGGCAGCCUGGGGAUACUGGGAGGAGGGGACUUCCUCCCUGAUGGCCUGUGAGUCACUCCGCCAGGUGCACUCCAUCCUCAGCCCCACUUCUCAAUGCCCCCUGCCCCUGGAGUCCUUCGCUGCAUCCCCCACUGAGAGCUGAGGACACCAGGACAUGGGGUCUUUCCUACCCUCACCUGCAUCCGGGAAACCUUGCAGCCUUGUCCCAGGCCAAACAGGACCCUCUGGAGUCCAGGGUAAUCCUGCUUCUUGAGGCUCACCGCCCCCUCCGCACCCCUGGCCUCUAGGGCAGAGCUUGGCAUGCAGUAGACAUUAAACAAACACUAAAGAAAUGCCUUACAUUCUUCUUCUUUUUAAAAAACCCCCAAACUCCUUUCUGGUCCUUCGUCUGCCCUAGGCCCUCUGGGUCAAGAUAAUCCUCUCAGAGGCAGUGUGCAAGGUGGUCAGGAGUCCAAAGGGUACAAAGAAUUAGCUGGGGACCUUGCAGGGGUGAGCGUGCUACACACAGGCCGGUUGCUCACAGGGACAAAAAGCAAGUAGUGGUAGGGAGAGGGGAAAGGAAACUCAGCUUUCAUGUUAACACCGCUUGGUAUCAUCUGAAUCUUGCCAUACAACACCUCCAACCUUCAAAUGUUCCUGGAAAAGCCCUUGGGAGUUUGAAUCUGAGCUCUGCAGCUGAUAAGCUGCGUGCAACCAGGGGCAGAUGGUGGCAGGACUUCCCAGGCUCAGUUUGUACGUCUGGGAAAUGGAGGCGGUCACGCGGUUCACAGAGGGUGGGUGAGUACCCCUCAUGGCAGCUGUGAUGAUACUCAUGUGAGCAGCUUCCCUUCAGCCCUCUCACUCCCGUUCCCUCCCCUGAGGGAGCCUGUCCUCCAGUCUGGCUGUGGGGACCCACUGGACCUUCUUGAUGGUGCCCCUUCUUCUGCAGCCCCCCAGCCCAGGCUGCUCCUCGGGCAGGAGAUGAACAAUUCUGCAGCAGCAGGCCCAUCCUAGACCCCACCUGGCCCUCUGGAGGGCCCCUCCAAGGAGCCCUCACCCCGCCCCCCCACCAUGCUGCCCCUGCAGGUGGCCCUCCGGGUACCACAUGGUGAGUCUCCGGCUGGCGUGUGUGGAGGGAGAUGGAGUGUGGACCCCUGAGGAUUGCCCCAGAGGAGGGCAAAAUGUGGGCCAUGGGCACCAUCCUGUUUCUGGCCUCAGCCUUCCACCCCUGGUGGGACAGGUGUGCAUGGUAGAUGAGACCAGGGUAAGAGAGCUGAAGUUCAGCCACCUCUCCAAGCCUCCAUCACCCCAUCUGUAAAAUGGACAUAAAGAACACUUCUAGAACCAUUCAGGAGUAAAUGGAAACGUGGCUGUGACUGACCAGGCGUGCAGGAGAUGCUUGUUAGAGGAUGGCCGUGACUGCUUACCAGGAAUGACCCGCUUCCCUCAGAUGCCUUGCUGCCUCCCUACGUGGAAGGCUCGUGGCUGACCCUCGAAGCCCGCAUCCAGCCUGCGCUAAACUGGGCCAUGAAGCUCUAUGUGGAUGAGUGUGUGGGCUCCCAGACCCAGUACCGGAACCGCUCUCGGAAGAUGUACAUCCUUGUCUUCAACCGUGGGUGCCUCUCAGUAGGCCCCCAUUCUGGCCCUUGGUCCCGGCAGAAUAAUGAGACGCUGCAGUUCAGCGUGGAGGCCUUCAUGCUCGACGAGGAUGAGGUGUAUAUCACCUGCUGGACGAGCGUCUCGAGUUGGAUGGGACCCUUUAAGCCUGGCCGGAAGUCCUGUUUUUAUAACACCUCCUCGUACAGCUGUCAGCUUGCAGAUGAUAAGUGGGAAAGCUCGAUGUGUGACUGCUGUGACUUUGGCUGUUCCCACCCAAAGAAAGAGUUCCCUGGGGAAGAGACACCUAUAUGGUGGUCACGGGGCUGCAGAAAGUCAAGAAGCCCCCAGUGUUGUAGUUUACGGUAAGGAACUCUGGGCUCAUAAUCAGCUCAGGCUAGGCGGCCACACCUCUGGGUAGUCCUGCAGCAUCCUUGGCCCCAGCCUCCUGCAGGACACUGAAGGACCUGCUAGUGGUGCUGCUGGCUUUCAGCCGUGUCACCGCUGCUGAUCCUGUUCCUGCUGACCCUGAAGGUGCUCAAGACCUUCCAGCUGUCCUCCCGGCUGCCAGGGACCACGUUGAGGGAGGCCCUGGCCAAUCUGGAUGCCCAGGAGAUGGGUCCAGUGGUCAGGGCAAUGGAAAGACUCUCUUCUGAGGAGGAGAUUGACUCGAUGUCCCAGUCUGCUGUCGAGGAAAGCUGGGAGGCAGCGGGCCCUUCAGAAAACUAAACAACCCUUUUAUAUACGUACAAUAAAGUUUUCUAUUU
Equus caballus (horse) is the source of this 2579-nucleotide long non-coding RNA. NCBI's taxonomy places the organism in Eukaryota, Metazoa, Chordata, Mammalia, Perissodactyla, Equidae. The record is from Ensembl.